UAUUAAAAUUUUGCAAUAAGAACAAGAAGAUACUAUUCGCGAUACAAAAUGAAUAAGCCGCGAAUAAUAAGGUUCGCGAGAGAAAUUAUAUAUAAUACUUUUACCGACCAUGUCUAGCUGAACAAGAAGCAAAACAAUUCUAUCGGAUCUGGAAGCAUAUGUGAGUGCGUUUCAAGACAUAACCGAAGAUGAUUGGAAAAUCUCAUGUCAACAUGUAAGAAAAAUUUAAAAUGACUAUUACAAGAGAGAACAUACCCUGUAAGAGGACAUUGAAAGAAUUAUAAUAAAUCUUAAAGAUGACAGUAGUAGUUCUUCAGAAUCACAGGAUGACUGUCCAGCCAGCUCCAGUCAUGAAAAUAUGGACAUUGAUUUUACUGAAAUACAAUAUUUGGAAGAAA
Long non-coding RNA from Manduca sexta (tobacco hornworm), 398 nucleotides. RefSeq lists it as uncharacterized. The transcript has 2 exons. Lineage: Eukaryota; Metazoa; Arthropoda; Insecta; Lepidoptera; Sphingidae. The record is from RefSeq and is a predicted model, not a curated record.